CACACGACUCUCGGCAACGGAUAUCUCGGCUCUCGCAUUGAUGAAGAACGUAGCAAAAUGCGAUACCUGGUGUGAAUUGCAGAAUCCCGCGAACCAUCGAGUUUUUGAACGCAAGUUGCGCCCGAGGCCUUCUGGCUGAGGGCACGCCUGCUUGGGCGUCACGC
This 164-nucleotide ribosomal RNA is filed under the name Hordeum cordobense. RNAcentral describes it as "5.8S ribosomal RNA". It matches the Rfam family "5.8S ribosomal RNA". From Rfam's summary of the family: 5.8S ribosomal RNA (5.8S rRNA) is a component of the large subunit of the eukaryotic ribosome. It is transcribed by RNA polymerase I as part of the 45S precursor that also contains 18S and 28S rRNA. Lineage: Eukaryota; Viridiplantae; Streptophyta; Magnoliopsida; Poales; Poaceae. The record is from RNAcentral.